AUGCGGUUUGGCGAUGUGUUAAUCUCAUUCCCUAACGCUGUGCCCUGCGGAGUGAAGCUUGCGUCAGCAUUUGGAAGUAUAUUAAUGAAUCCGGAUGAUGAUUAUGUUUUAAGAGAAGGUGAUGAGAUCCUUGUUAUAGCAGAAGAUGAUGAUACUUAUGCACCUGCUCCUCUACCAGAGCUGCAUAAGGGUUUUCUACCUAACGUUCCCACCCCUCCUAAAUAUCCAGAGAAAAUUUUGUUCUGUGGUUGGCGACGUGACAUUCACCAUAUGAUAAUGGUUCUAGAAGCAUUUCUUGCUCCGGGCUCUGAAUUGUGGAUGUUCAAUGAGGUGCCAGAGAAGGCGAGGGAGGCAAAACUGACUGACAGUGGUAUGGAUAUUCUUGGACUAACAAACAUUAAACUUGUACACAAAGAAGGGAAUGUUGCCAUCAGGCGGCACUUAGAAAGCUUGCCUCUUGAGACCUUUGAUUCUAUUUUAAUUCUUGCAGAUGAGUCGGUGGAGGACUCCGUUGUACAAUCGGAUUCACGGUCCAUAGCUACACUUCUUCUAAUUCGUGACAUUCAGUCCAGACGUCUUCCAUCAUCGAAGGAGUCAAAAUCACCUCUACAUCACAAUAGCUUCUCUCACAGCUCAUGGAUUCAGAAGAUGCAACAUGCAUCGGACAGAUCAAUAAUAAUCAGUGAGAUACUGGACUCAAGAACUAGAAACCUUGUAUCUGUCUCCAAAAUCAGCGAUUACGUCCUGUCAAAUGAACUUGUCAGUAUGGCAUUAGCAAUGGUAGCAGAAGACAAGCAAAUCAACAGAGUUCUCCAGGAACUUUUCGCUGAGGAGGGCAACGAGAUGUGCAUACGGUCUGCUGAGUUUUACCUGUACGAACAAGAGGAGUUAAGUUUCCUGGACAUAAUGGUGAGGGCUCGUGAGAGAGACGAGAUUGUGAUCGGCUAUCGGCUUGCAAACACCGAUGAGGCAAUCAUUAAUCCAGAGCAUAAGUCAGAGAUUAAGAAGUGGUCUUUAGACGACAUGUUUGUUGUGAUCGCGAAAGGUGACUGA
This 1053-nucleotide ribosomal RNA is filed under the name Triticum aestivum (bread wheat). RNAcentral's name for it is "partial small subunit ribosomal RNA". The record is from RNAcentral. Lineage: Eukaryota; Viridiplantae; Streptophyta; Magnoliopsida; Poales; Poaceae.